UCCGGUUUGUCACCGGCAGUCUCGCAUGAGUCCCCAGCUUUACCUGAUGGCAACAUACGACGAGGGUUGCGCUCGUUGCGGGACUUAACCCAACACCUCACGGCACGAGCUGACGACAGCCAUGCAGCACCUGUGCUGGCCCCUUACGGAGCCCUGCUUUCACAGGGUUUAACCAGCAUGUCAAGCCCAGGUAAGGUUCUUCGCGUUGCAUCGAAUUAAGCCACAUGCUCCGCCGCUUGUGCGGGUCCCCGUCAAUUCCUUUGAGUUUUAGCCUUGCGACCGUACUUCCCAGGCGGUCGACUUAGCACUUUUGCUUCGACCGUGAUACCGUCAGAGGCACCACGAUCUAGUCGACAUCGUUUACGGCCAGGACUAC
This 376-nucleotide unclassified non-coding RNA is filed under the name uncultured bacterium. Its description in RNAcentral is "contains 16S-23S intergenic spacer region". The record is from RNAcentral.